GUUAGCUUAGCGUAGCAUAAACUUUGGAAAUGGGGAAACAGCUAGACUGGCUCGGUGCUUGUGUAAAAACAGCC
Molecule: long non-coding RNA, 74 nt
Organism: Etheostoma spectabile (orangethroat darter)
Lineage: Eukaryota; Metazoa; Chordata; Actinopteri; Perciformes; Percidae
Exons: 3
Source: RefSeq, a predicted model, not a curated record